This 10888-nucleotide long non-coding RNA is filed under the name Homo sapiens (human). RNAcentral describes it as "HSALNT0091305". The record is from RNAcentral. Lineage: Eukaryota; Metazoa; Chordata; Mammalia; Primates; Hominidae.
GGCAGAUCAAGAGCAUCUCAUCCUCCGGCUGCUGAGUCAUCCUGCUCUGGCAGUUAUUUAAACAGAAGGCUCCAGGAGACAUACAAUCAACACUCCACUCAGACAAUGCCCAGACCUCCAGAAACCAUGUGUCAAGCUCGGAUUGCCUUAGACAGGUGCAAUUUAAGAACAGCUUUCAUCCUCUUUUCUCUCAUAUUGUCACACUAUGUGUUCUGACUUCUGGCUCCUUUCCUCACAAGAAGCUCACCCAGCUGGAACUCUUAUGGGACCUUGGCACCAGAGACCACAAAUUCCUCUUUGAAGUUUUCUAACAGCAACAAUGGUAUUUCUGACUUGGCUUUCUUGUAUUUCUCUCACGUUAACAAAAUUGGUUCAGCAUCUACCAUGGGCUACAUGCUGAGCUACAGAGUUUCGCUCUGUCGCCCAGGCUGGAGUGCAGUGGCGCGCGAUCUCGGUUCACUGCAAGCUCCACCUCCCGGGUUCACGCCAUUCUCCUGCCUCAGCCUCCUGAGUAGCUGGGACUACAGGCGCCCGCCACCACACCCAGGAAUCCAACUUGCUGUUUGCUAUCACAUGUGCUAUACAUGCUGUUGAUGAAACUGCUAAAGGGGCUGAAUGUGACUGACGUCUUUGGAAGGAUGAGACUUAGCGUGCCUGUACAGUUGUGUCCAAAUGCUGUCCUCAUCUCCCAAUGAAAAGGGUUUUUCCUUAAGCCUCACAACAAUUUACAGCAUUGCCAGCAGCAUUCAGUACAUUCAGAACAGGAUAAUUUCACCCGCAGCUGAACUAGGGCCAUGCCUGGGACAGACAGAGAAUGGCCUUCCAGCAGACAUGCCAAGAAGCAAGCCAGGGUCAGUGAGUGAAGAGGAGGGCAGGCCCAUUUGAAGCAACACAGUUUAUAUACAUGAAAAGAAAGAAGGAGAGAAGGAAGAAAGGAGGGCGGAAGGAAAGGAAGAAGGGAGAGAAGAAGAGAAGAAAGAAGCAGAGAAAGGAAGAGAAAAGAAAUUACGGCCAGUGCGGUGGCUCACGCCUGUAAUCCUAGCACUUUGGGAGGCCUAAGCGGGCUGAUCACCUGAGGUCAGGAGUUCGUAAGCCAGCCUGGCCAACAUGGUGAAACCCUAUCUCUACUAAAAAUACAAAAAUCAGCAGGGCAUGGUGGUGCGUGCCUGUAAUCCCAGCUACCUGGGAGGCUGAGGUAGGAGAAUCGCUGGAACCCGAGAGGCGGAGGCUGCAGUGAGUUGAGAUCAUGUCACUGCACUCCAGGCUGGGCAACAGAGUGAGACUCUGUCUCAGAAAAAAAAAAAAAGAAAGAAAGAAAGAAAGAAAGUUACCAUUAGUUUUUUGUUGUAUUUGCAAGCAAAGACAAAAGCACCAAGGUACUUGUUUCCUUCUGUAAUUAGAGUUUCAAAUAGACUAAAAGUUUCUGCUCUUAGGUGGGUCUAGAGACUCUCCAGUACCUCAGGACCUCAGGACACAUGGGGUCUCUUGGUUGUUUUCUUUUCAUUGUUGUUGUUUAUUUUAUUUUUGUUUUUAUUUUUUAACUUUAAAACAAUUUUUUGUAGAUGAAUAUGCUUACAUAUGUUUGGGGGUUUUUUUGAGACAGGGUCUUGCUCUGUUGCCCAGGCUGGAGAGCGGUGGUUUAACCACAGCUCACUGCAGCCUCGACCUCCCAAGGUAGGGACUGCAGGUGUGUACACUGGGGUGCACCACCACACCCAGCUAAUUUUUAAAUUUUUUUUUGUAGAUAUUGUCUCACUCUGUUGGCCAGACUGGUCUUGAAAUCCUGGGCUCGAGCAAUUCUCCUGCCUCGGCCUCGUAACGCGUUAGGAUUACAAGCGUGAACACCGCACCUGGCCAGCAUGUGGUCUCUUAACCAGAGGAGGCCUCUUCUGAACUAGGUAGAGGUCCUGAGAAUUGAUUCUGAGAGUAAAAGGCUCUUUGUUCUCCUCAGAGUAGAUUAGAAUCCCUAAUGAUAGAGCAUCUAUUAUUCCUCUAGUGGUCCAUGCCCAACAGAUUCAUCCAAGAAUAGAUGAAGAUCUUUGUAAUGUUGUGCAAGUAAUCUAAUCACCCCACAGAAGAGCUGUGACUUAAAUUAUCCCAGAGUCGGCCCACCUGUUUUCAUAAAGAUCAAUGUAACUUGUAAAUUUCUUCAGUUCUCCUCACCUAUCAUCAUUUGACUAACAAAACCCAGAAAACUAGGCUAGUUAUGGUGGCCUAUGCAUAUAAUCCCAACUCUUUGAGAGGCCAGGGUGGGUGGAUUGCUUGAGUCCAGGAAUUCGAGACCAGCCUGGGCAACAAAGGGAGACCCUGCCUAUAUCCCAGCUAUGCAGGAGGCGAGGCCAGAGGAUUGCCUGAGCCUCAGAGGUUGAGGCUGUAGUGAGCCAUGAUUGCCCCACUACACUCCAGCCUGGAUGACAGAGUGAGACCCUGCCUUAAAAAUAAUAAUAAUAGUAAUAAUAUUUCAUAAAGAUACAGGAAACUAGAUUAUAAUUGACAUUUUCAAAGUGAAAUACUGUCUAGAAUGGUGCUUGGCCAACAGUAAGCUUUUUGUAAGUGGAAGUCAUUACUACUACUAUUUCUUUCAUUAUUAUUACCAUUACUACUUUUUUUUACAAAAAAAAAACCCUGGACAACACACUGAAACCAUUACUACUUCUACUACUAUAACUUAGGUUGCACCUGAUAGAGCCAGCAAUUUUUCCAAGGUAUGACAAUGGCCAUAUGUUUAAUGAUAUAAUUCUAUGGCUCAGUGUAUCUCAGCCUUUUUAAACCCUGCUCUUCUUUUGACAAUUGUAAAAAUCUUAAACUGACCUCCAGUUGAAAUCCUCUGUCAAGAAGAUAUUGUCGGCCAGGGGCGGUGGCUCACACCUGUAAUCCCAGCACUUUUGGAGGCCGAGGUGGGAGGAUCACUUGAGGUUAGGAGUUCAAGACCAGCCUGGCCAACAUAGUGAAACCCCAUCUCUACUAAAAAUACAAAAAUUAGGCAGGCAUGGUGGUGUGUGCCUGUAAUCCCAGCUACUCAGGAGGCUGAGGUAGGAGAAUUGCUUGAACCUGGCAGGGCAGAGGUUGCAGCAAGCCGAGAUCACGCCACUGCUCUCCAGCCUGGGUGAGACUGUCUCAAAAAAAAAAAAAAAAAAGAAAGAAAGUAAGAAAAAGAAGAAAUCCCAAUCUCUUCUUUUAUGUGGAUUCUUCCUCACUUGAAUAAUACUUUUCUUCCCCAGUAUUCUCCAUAUUAUCCCAGAGUCAGCCCCUCUGUUUUUGUAAAGAUCUACGUAACCUCCUCUAAGUUUCCCAGUUCUCCUCACCUAUCAUAUCAUUUGGCUCAACAAAGGGCAGGAAGCUAGAUUCUAAUUGAUAUUUUGAGGCCGGGAGCAGUGGCUCAUGCCUGUAAUCACAGCACUUUGGGAGGCUGAGGCGGGCAGAUCACUGGAGGUCAGGAGUUCGAGACCAGCCUGGCCAAUAUGGUGAAACCUCGUCUCUACUAAAAAUACAAAAAAUUAGCCAGGCUUGGUGGCUUGUACCUGUAAUCCCAGCUACUCAGGAGGCUGAGGCAGGAGAAUAGCUUAAACCUGGGAGGAAGAGGUUGCAGUGAGCCGAGAUUGCUCAAUUGCACCCCAGCCUGGGUGACAGAGCAAAACUCCAUCUCAAAAACAAACAAACGAACAAACCUGAUAUUUUCAAAAUUGAGGCAAUUAUAACAGCUAUUUAGCCAAGCAUUAUGAUAGCAAUAAUAGCAAGAAAAUAAAUUAGUUAACAAAUGAGUCUCAGAAGCCCAAUGAUUUUUAUUUUAUUUUUAUUUUUUGAACUUUUAUUUUAGAAUCAGGGGAUACAUGUGCAGGUUUGUUACCCGGGUAUAUUGCAUGAUGCUGAGUUUUGGAGUAUGCAUGAAUCCAACCUGUCAUCCAGGUAGUGAGUAUAGUACCCAACAGAUAGUUUUUUUAACAUUUACUUCACUCCCUUCCCCAAUCUUGUAUUCCCCUGUGUCUACUGUUCCCAUUUUUAUGACUGUGCCAACAAUAAUUUUUUUUCUUUUUUCUUUAAAUAGAGAUGGGGGUCUCUAUUUAAAGAGCCUCCCAAAGUGCUAGGAUUACAGGUGUGAUCCAUUGCACCUGGCCCAUGCCAACAAUAUUUGAAACCCUUAUCUGCGUGUACAAGUUUGCUACUGGUUUUGUUUUGCUCAUUAAUACAUCCCAAGCAUCUAUACCUGGCUUGUAGUACCAGCAUGUAGUAGGUGCUUAAUAAAUAUUUAUUGAAUAAAUAAAUUAGUUUGACAUUAGUUUAACAUCUCAAGUAAAACAAAAUACCAUUCAAUUAAUUCUCUUCUUCUACUUUUUUCUUUUAAGAGAGACAAAUAGUCACACAUACAUCAGCAGGAGAGGAUACAAUUUCCUGUGUUUAAGUUUUUAUGAGUUACUUUAGUUCAAAUGUCACAGAAAAUUAUAUUGAACUCUUGACCAAUCUAUCUAUUUUUUCCAUUGGAGUAUUGACCCAAAUAAGAAAUAGCAUAAAGGAAAAAUUAUUUUUUGGCAGAAAAAUAUUCUCUCUAAAUUCUUGUGUGUUUUGUUUUGAUUUUUUCCUUAGUGACUGGAGGCCAGUUUCAAUCCACUGAAGCACAGAUUCCAAAUUUUCAAUCUGGUUUUCUUGAGUAGUGACUGAGUGCCAAAAAUGAAGCAAUGACACAACAUCACCAUCAAGACACUCCCCAGCACGCACACACAUGCCAGAGUCCAACACCAAGAUACUCCCCAGCACGCACACACACGCCAGAGUCCAGGCCAUAUUCGGGUGGCUUGCAAGCUUCUUCCCCCCAAGUAUUUACUCUCAAAAUAAUGGUUUUUGUUUUGUUUUGGUUUGGUUUGGUUUGUUUUUUUCCAAAUACAUUUCUUCCCUAUAUCUUUAACCAAUUCUCAUAAAAUUUUGUCUAAUACACUGGUCAGUGUAUUCCAGACCCUAAAAGAUAACAUAAUGAAACUAUCUAUGACUAAAAGGUAAUCAGGAUCUUCUACUUAUCCUUUUUUCCUCCCUCUUAAACUUUAAUUUUGAUACAUUUGGGAGUGAAAUGAUGACAAUAAAUGCAAAGUAAUUAUUGAAGAAACAGUAAUUUUGUAUUAGCUUACUGAAAAAAAAAAAAAAGAUAACCAAAUAUAUUUUGGCAGCCCCAAACGAGUCACAUGUGAAAUGCAGUGGGAGAGCAGUGUCCUGAAGGAAAAGGUGGCCUGCUGGACAGCCAAGAGAACAAACAUCCACUGCAAGUAAUAUGAGCUCUAAGUUUGGACUAGGCCUAUGUCUGCUCUGAGACUUGGGGCAAUUCACUUAAUCAGAGCCUUAAUCAGCUACGGACUAGCAAUAUCCAUACCCGCUACUUAUUUUGUAAAUCUCCUUUCUAAAGUUAACUCUAUUUAUUGUUCCAUAAUCCCAUAAAUUCUAGAAUCUUUUCCUGUUAUAGCCAAGUUGUCUAUCAUUGACAGAGAUAUUCACCUGGUUGUUUUGGCUUCUCUAAUCCUCCUGGUGAGAACACCUCCAAGGGAGCUUUCAGUGGCAUUUAAGGUCACUUGUGCUCUUGGUCCUAGAAACUGCCUUGAUAGUGGUUUUAGCUCACAUGAGGUAAGUCUUUAUUAUAUGCCCAACCUCUUUAUGCAUUACUUCAUUUAAUUGUAUACUAAUCCUUUGUCAUAGGUUAUCAGAGUGUUUGAUUAUAAGUUACAGGAAGAAAAAAAAAAACAAACUCCAAUUGACUAAAACAAUGGGGCAUUUUUUGACUCACAUAACAGAGAGUCUAGAGAGAAGGCACCUUCAGGUUUGGCUGAUGAAUCCUGUAUCUCUGCCUUGUCUCCAGGCCCCCAGGUUCUGCCUCUGUCCUGACAUCCAGUGUUGGAUUCCUCUUCACAUCAACUCCUCUCUGUAGGUUGGGCCAUCAGACCCUACCUCCUUAUUUAUGUUGAGCAAAGGAGAGAGAAUGCCUCUACAAACAAUGAAAAAAGUGAAAAAAAAAAUCUUUCUCCUCCUUAUAACUUUAGUUAGCUUAACUUUAGUCAGUUGCUUAGCUACUAAACAGUAGCUAUUGGGAGGUGGGAAGGAAUACUAUUGUGUAAUCAACUAAGGCUCAUACAGAGGAUUAGGGUUAUCUGAAUUGAUUUGAAUUAAUUAGAAUUUACUCUCAGAGCUGUGGCAAUUCCUUGAACCACACUGAUUGCUAUAAAGUGGAAGAGGAAUAGAUUGAAUUUUGGGGAGUCAACUACAAUGUGUACUACAGGUAAAUACUAUGAAUUUCCAAUUCACAGAUGAGAAAACUGAGGCAUGUGGUGGGAGGGAGGUUAUGUAAUUUGCCCAGUGUCACAGUUGAACCUAGGCAAAGGCCUAUCUCCAGGUCUAAACAAUUCAGUGGCCUCCUGUGUACAUUUCUGUCUCUCCUUUUUUAUCCACUGUGUCACCGAGGCUGGAUUGCAGUGGCUCGAUCAUGGAGAUCAUGGCUUUCUGUAGCCUUGAACUCCUGGGCUCAAGUGAUCCUCCUGCCUCAGCUUCCUGAGUGGCUGGGACUACAGGCUUGACAACACACCCGGCUAUCCCGUGUAUAUUUCUUGAGGGCUUAUGAUAUAUAAGAGAAACUCCAAAAUAAGAGGACGGUGUGCUAAGGGGAAGACCAAAGCACUAUCAAGAGGUAGAUUCAAUCGUACCCCUUCUAUUUACUAGUUGUGUGACUCUUUUGAAAAUGAGAAUAAUAGGCCAGGCUCGGUGGCUCCUGCCUGUAAUCCCAGCACUUUGGGAGGCUGAGGCAGGUAGAUCACCUGAGGUUAGAAGUUCAAGACCAGCCUAGCCAACAUGGCAAAACCCCAUCUCUAUUAAAAAUACAAAAAUUAGCCGGGAAUGGCAGCAUGUGCCUGUAGUUCCGGCUACUCAGGAGGCUGAGGCAGGAGAAUCACUUGAACCCAGGAGGCAGAGGUUGCAGUGAGCCGAGAUUGCGCUACUGCACUUCAGCCUGGGUGACAGCGAGACUCCAUCUCAAAAAAAAAAAAAAAGGAAGAAAAGAAAAGAAAAUGGGAAUAAUAAAACUUACUUACUGGAGCAGUAGCAAAGAUUAAAAUUUAGACCAUGCAGAAGAAUGUUUUUCAAAAUGACAUGACCUGGUAAUAGGAUAGAAAUGCAAAUUCCUGUUACUGCACCAGACCCACCAAAUAAGAAACUCUGGGGAUGGGACCCAGGACUAAGUACUUUAAUAAGCACUCCAGGUGAUUCUAAUGAUUGUUAAAGUUUGAGAACCACUGGUCUAACACAUUGCCUGGUACAUAAGCUCUUAUUUUGUUGUUAUUGUUCUAAGGACAAUGUGUGUAUUGACUUCUAUUUCCAGGAGUUCAUGACUUGGAGAACUAGGGAAAGGAAGACAAAAAUUCUUUAAUGCAGAACGAUACUGAUUGAUAAAUACCUGAAUAUAAUACAGGUUAAAUGUGCUUUGAAGAUUUAUAAAAGGUUGAAUUUAUUUCCAGCAAGAUGACUCUCAGAAGCCUUUAUAGAUUAGAGAAGAAAUGGAAAGGGGUAAAAAUAAUUAGGAACUAUAAAGCAGGGCAGACAAGUUUUCAAUGGUUACUGCCAAUGUGUAUACAGAAAGUUAGCUUGGCCAGGCAAAGUGGCUCAUGCUUGUAAUAUCAGCACUUUGGGAGGCCAAGGCGGGCAGGUCACCUGAGAUCAGGAGUUUGAGACCAGCCUGACCAACAUGGUGAAACUCUAUCUCUACUAAAAAUACACAAUUAGCCCAGCAUGGUAGAGCAUGCCUGUAAUCCCAGCUACUCAGGAGGCUGAGGCAGGAGAAUCGCUUGUACUUGGGAGGCAAAGGCUGCAGUGAGCUGAGAUCGUGCCAUUGCACUCCAUCCUGGGAAACAAGGGUGAAACUCCGUCUCCAGAAAAAAAAAAGUUACCUUGAAAUAUAUCAAUACAAACAAAUAAAUUAGAUAUUUCAUAUUGUACAGGAACAAAACCCAUCAGAAGAUGUCAGAAGAUAAGGAUUUUUGUCCUGAUGCUACACUUACCAGCUGUCCCUCAGUGUUCUACUUCUUAAAAAAAGAGAGGUUGGUCCUGAUCCCUGGUUCUUAACCAGGGGAAAAUGAAGUGGGGCCAGGGCAUGUGCAGACUUAAAAAUUACACAGGGGAAUGUAGGCACGAUCUGUUUAAGAAAUACUGGACUAAAUGGUCUCUAAUCUGUGAUUGUAGAUUAAAGAAUAAUCUACAAUCUACACCGUGUUGGCCAGGCACGGUGGCUCACACCUGUAAUUCCAGCACUUUGGGAGGCUGAGGUGUGUGGAUCACAUGAGGUCAGGAGUUCGAGACCAGCCUCACCAAUGUGGCAAAACCCCCUCUCUACUAAAAAUACGGAAAAUUAGCUGGGUGUGGUGGUGCAUGUCUGUAGUCCCAGCUACUCGGGAGGCUAAGGCAUGAGAAUUGCUUGAACCUGGGAGGUGGAGGUUGCAGUGAGCCAAAAUCACGCCACUGCACUCCAGCCUGGGUGACAGAGUGAGACUCUGUCUCAAAAAAAAAGAAAAAAUAAAUAAUCAAAUGUAAAGUUAGCACAUAAAGGAGGCAUGUACAUAUUAUUAAAAUCUAUAUGACUACCUCUCCUUUUUCAUUUUUGGCUCAAUAUCUGUAUCUGAACACCUAAUUAAUGAAAGGAAAACAUUUGUAAUAUGUAGCAACUAAAAUGUCACCUUCUCUGUGGGGAUCACAAAGUCCUUGGCAAUCACUUCCAUACCAGACAAGUGAGUAUUGUCCUUCUCCUUUUCCAGAUGGAUAAACAGAGGCAACCCGAGGAUAAAGGCCUUGCUCAGUGUCACACAUUUCAGUCACUAAAUAAGACACAAUGGAUGCCAGUAUUCUCAUCCCCUCACAAAUAAAGAGCCUUCAAGCUCUUGCAGUCAACAAGAACUUUUGGAAUGAUUUCACUGCCUGAAAAGGCAGAUACAUAGGUGACACCCACAAAUAGGAAGAAAAUCAACCUGAACCUGAGUGUGUGGGCUCACUGACUCUAAGCAGUAGAGACAGAAGAAAAAGUUUUAGCAAAGAAGGGUUCUGAAAGAAAAUAAAUAUAGCUCGUUAUCAAGUGCUGUUUUUACACAGUAAAACAUGGGCAAAAUUACUCUUCUUUAAGUAGUAAUUCUUAUCUCUUGAUUAAGUCACCUACUCAUUCAUUUAAUAAAUACAUACUGAUUGUUUUCUAUGUGUUGAGCACUCAUCUCUGUAUUGGAAAUAUAAUAAUGACCAAAGUUGACAAUAGUAAUAACAAUAAUAGCUAAUAUAGCAGGCACUAAUAAUUAUUUGUUGAGUAAUAUGUCAAAAUUCAGUGUGAACAGCAUUCUAUUUGGGGCUGCAUCCACUGACUAUAACACAGCUAAUCUAUCUGAAAUGUUCCAGCUUUGGGCCUCUCUAACAGAAGAAGCUGUUGUUGGGCCUGCCUCUAGUUGGCGAUGCAUCCACCAAUGAGAAUGAAUUUAUGAUCGACCACUCUUCCUGUAAAGGCCGCUGGAACUGACAGCAUUGUGAUUUUCUUUUACUGUUAGUUUUAAAUUACUAGAACCAACUCAAUUACUAGAACGAACUUUACUUCUUUGUUUCCUACUUAUCAAAACAGUAAAAACAACAAGUAAAAGAAAUGCCAUCUUAAUAUUGUUUUGAUGACAAAACAGUAUUCCUUUUAGUUGUGCUUCAAAUGGAAUAAGAUGCAAACAGGCUUGGUAUGGUGGCUCACCCCUGUAAUCCCAGCCCUUUGGGAGGCCAAGGUGGAAGGAUUGCUUGAGGCCAUGAGUUUGAGACCAGCCUGCGCAACAUAGCAAGACCGUGUCUCUACAAAAAAUAAAAAAUUAGCUGAGUGUAGUGGUGUGUGCUUGUGGUCCCAGCUACUUUUGAGGCUGAGGAGGGAGAAUCUCUUGAGCCCAGAAGGUCGAAGUUGCAGUGAGCCGUGAUCGUGCCAUUGCUCUCCAGCUUGGACAACAAAGCAAGACCCUAUGUCAAAAAAUAAAUAAAUAAAAGACAUAAACAUAUCUGAGAUUAACUUUCAGUGGUAAAUUUGUUCCAUAUAUGAUUUUUAAGGUUAAAUGCUUUGGAAGCUUUAAAAACCAUUUCAGCCCUUUUAAAUGCCAACUUACACUGAUGAUGCUCUCAGAUGUUAGGAAAUCUUUUGAGCAGAAAAUGGAAGUGGGGGUGUUGAGGCAGGGAGGAGAGUGAUGCAAUAUUCCUUAGUGUCAUCCUGUGAUUUCACAAUUUGUUUUUCAAUCUGUUUGGACUUUCAAAAGGGAAGACUCUCAUAUGUCAACAAGCCCAUGAACUGAAGCUUAAAACACUGGAAACAACAACUGUAGAGUUUCAAGUAUAUGUACAUUUAUGUAUUCAUGUUCCUUGAUGGGAAUGCUGGCUGGUGUGAAUGUUCAAUCUCCUGAGAAAUGUAAAUUUUUCUCUGACAGAUUUAUUAGCUUGCUGUAUCUGAGCACAUGAGCAAAAACAAUGCCUAAUAAGAAAACUUUCUCUCUCCUUCAAAGUCAAACUUGGGAGAAAUGAAGGGAAAUCGAGUUUUCUUUGCUUGACAGUGUUCAACAUUCUUGUAGUCAGUGUGCUCAUGAAGAUUGCAAACUUUUUUUUUUUUUUAGAGCAGCUAGGACUACAGGCGCGCACCACCACACCCAGCUAAUUUGUGUAUUUUUAGUAGAGAUGGGGUUUUAACUAUGUUGGCCAAGCUUGUCUCAAACUCCUGACCUCAAGUGAUCCAUUCGACAGCUCUUUCUUUUUUUUUUUUUUUUUUGAGACAAAGUCUCGCUCUGUCACCCAGGCUGGAGUGCAGUGGUAUGAUCUCAGCUCACUGCAACCUCCGCCUCCUGGGUUCAAGCAAUUCUCAUGCCUUAGCCUCCCGAAU